AAUCAACGCUGGCGGCGUGCCUCAGACAUGCAAGUCGAACGAUUAAAGCUCUCUUCGGAGAGUGCAUAGAGUGGCGCACGGGUGAGUAACACGUAAGUAAUCUACCUUCGAGUGGGGAAUAACGUCCGGAAACGGACGCUAAUACCGCAUAAUGCAGCGGCAUCGUAAGAUGACAGUUGUUAAAGAUUUAUCGCUUGAAGAGGAGCUUGCGGCAGAUUAGCUAGUUGGUAAGGUAAUGGCUUACCAAGGCUACGAUCUGUAUCCGGUCUAAGAGGACGGUCGGAC
This 285-nucleotide ribosomal RNA is filed under the name uncultured bacterium. RNAcentral describes it as "partial 16S ribosomal RNA". It matches the Rfam family "Bacterial small subunit ribosomal RNA", at positions 32 to 309 of the family's 1533-position model. The record is from RNAcentral.